This 119-nucleotide ribosomal RNA is filed under the name Digitopodium tectonae. Its description in RNAcentral is "Hyalocladosporiella tectonae partial 28S ribsomal RNA". It matches the Rfam family "Eukaryotic large subunit ribosomal RNA", at positions 1 to 117 of the family's 3401-position model. The record is from RNAcentral. Lineage: Eukaryota; Fungi; Ascomycota; Eurotiomycetes; Chaetothyriales; Herpotrichiellaceae.
GUUGACCUCGGAUCAGGUAGGAAUACCCGCUGAACUUAAGCAUAUCAAUAAGCGGAGGAAAAGAAACCAACAGGGAUUGCCUCAGUAACGGCGAGUGAAGCGGCAACAGCUCAAAUUUG